RNAcentral lists this ribosomal RNA (254 nucleotides) under uncultured bacterium. RNAcentral describes it as "partial 16S ribosomal RNA". It matches the Rfam family "Bacterial small subunit ribosomal RNA", at positions 524 to 776 of the family's 1533-position model. The record is from RNAcentral.
UACGGAGGGUGCGAGCGUUGUCCGGAAUCAUUGGGCGUAAAGGGCGCGUAGGUGGCCCGGUCAGUUCGUGGUGAAAGCGCGGGGCUCAACCCUGCGUCGGCCAUGAAUACUGCCGCGGCUGGAGCACUGUAGAGGCAGGCGGAAUUCCGGGUGUAGCGGUGGAAUGCGUAGAGAUCCGGAAGAACACCGGUGGCGAAGGCGGUUCUCUGGGACGGUACUGACGCUGAGACGCGAAAGCGUGGGGAGCGAACAGG